CCUUUCGGGUGCGAUUAUGUGGAGCGUGAGGAGCUAAACGCCUUCAUGCCUGCGUAUUUGUACUCUGGGGUGUACUUGGACGUGCGGUAGGUUAACAUCAAUUUCGGAUGUCAUAAAAUGGCUGGAGGAAUGUAGCUUCGGUCUCGUACUGAAGUGUUAUAGCCUUUGGUAGAUGUGAUGACCGGGAUUGAGGAUUGCAACGAAUACCUUUUGGGCUAUCCGCCUGGUCUCUGAAAGUUGCUCUGGUGCCGAAAGCUUGCUUACGGUUAUCAAAGUUGACGUUCAAAAGGUUAGAGCAGGUUAAAUUCGUUAAGGAUGUUGACGUAA
RNAcentral lists this ribosomal RNA (327 nucleotides) under uncultured fungus. RNAcentral describes it as "eukaryotic LSU rRNA". Lineage: Eukaryota; Fungi. The record is from RNAcentral.